UUCUCAAAUAACUUACUGAUAUAACAAAAAUAUAACUUUAUAACUUGCGUCUAUGUAACGAAUAUAGUAUAGCUGAGAUUUUAUAAUUUGAAUUUUUCUAUUUUAGAUAUACAAAAUUUUACUCUAAAUUAAAGCAAGAGAACUACAAACAAUUAAUUAAAGGGUCUCGAGUCUCAACUACCUACUUAAACUAGUCAUUCAUACUCAAGCUAUCAAAUGAGUUGACAUUUUACUAUUUUAGUUAUAACUUGUUAUUGGUAUCGACGAACUUCAAAGAAAAGUAUAUUUGCUCCUUUGCUGCAACUUGUAAUUGGUAUUGACAAACUUCAAAUGAAAGUGUCUUUGCUCCUUUGCUGCUUCUACUUCUUUUUCUCCUUCUUGUACACCGGCUUCCAAAAAUGAUUGUCGAACUGUAACAUAUCAACCUCUGUAAUUUUUAUAUUGUUGGCAUAGCAAAUAAUAAAAUUCAAUCACCAUUAAUUGGUUAAUAAAACAAGAAAGUACAAUACGAACGAAUCUUUCUUUAUUGUACUUCCAUCCGCUAAACUUGGUAGAAAUGAUGGCUUGCAAGAGCAAUUUAUAGCAGUAAUUAUCACAAAUAACAUCUAGAAGACCGUAACAACAAAAUAUAAUUGAACAAAAAUGAUUUUUCCUAAAAUGCACUGGAAAACAAUUCAUAUCUAGUUUUAAAGGUAGAACUGUGCAUGUUCAAACUUCAUAUUCAUCUAUGUCUGAAGUUGUAACUUCACCCCAAUUUUUCAACUCUAAUGUGUGAACACACACACAUGUAUGUAUAUGAAUAUAUAUAUAUAUAUGUGUGUGUGUGUGUGUGUGUGUGUGGUGUUGUUGAUUGUAUGUACUAUGUAGGUAUAUAUAUAUGUGUGUGUGUGGUGUUGUUGGGUGUAUGUACUAUGUAGGUAUAUAUAUGUAUGGGUGUGUGUGGUGUUGUUGGUUGUAUGUACUAUGUAGGUAUAUAUAUGUGUGUGUGUGUGGUGUUGUUGGGUGUAUGUACUAUGUAGGUAUAUAUAUGUAUGGGUGUGUGUGGUGUUGUUGGUUGUAUGUACUAUGUAGGUAUAUAUAUGUAUGGGUGUGUGUGGUGUUGUUGGUUGUAAUAUAACAUAAGUAUCUAUUAUGUAAAAGGAUAAAAAAACACAGGUUUAAUACUAAAUAUGCUUCGUAAAGUAUCACAAUGAACAACAUUAGAAUUCAUUUCAUUGAAUGAUCAAAGUUAAAUAUGCCUUUAAACUUUGUGAGAGGAAUUACCGAUAAGAAGCUAAAUUUACAUAGGAAUAUAUAAUCUCGGAAUUCAAGUAUGGAAUUUUUGGCCCAUGAUUUUCUCUUUACUUGUUUUUUCCACAGUUGAACCGAAAAUACACUUGUCCAUAAAUUUUCUUGCAAAUAAAAGUACGUUCUUUUAUUUUAAAAUACUCACAAUUUAUAUGUUCAAACGCCCUAAAUUCCUGAAGUCUUUUGGAAAAACAAUUUUAAAUAUACUAAAAACAGCAUCUUCUAGCGGGAGGAGGGAUCAAUUGAAAAAUCACCAUUACCGCGUUAUAUAAAACUAAAUACUUAAGCAGGAGUAGCUUCCUAGGAAGCUUCAUCGCAACCUUUUUCUUUCCUAUUUAUAUGUCAAAAAAAUCAGUUACCAUCAUCAUAUCUUAUUCUGUCUGAUUCUUUAAGUGUCAGGAUCAUAGUGAUCUUUCCUAGUAUUUUAUAAUAAAUCCAGAAAAAAAAAAAUAGUGUGCACGUACGGCGAUAGUGCUGAUCAAAGGCAAGGAUGAUGGAGGUGGAUCAUGAAGAUAAUGGAUCAGACAUUGAAGCUCAGCGGAGUUCCCCGCAGUUAAUGAAUGGUGAAUUGGGUAAAUCUAGUUUGAUCAUGAGGAAGUCGGCCAUCAUUUUCCAAUCUACUUACAAGUUCAUUGAAGCUGGAGCAAAAAUAGCGUCUCUUUCACGAGUCUCAUCGUCUUCCUCAUCUUCCAGCACAACCUUUUAUACUCCUCUUCCCAGCUUUAAACAUGGAGUAUGUAUAUAUAAUUUAAAAACAUAUAUAUGUAUAUAGUUUAAGUUAUAUUGAUGAUAUUAAUUAUAUAUAUAUGCUCUAUGUCUAAUCAGGAUGCGGAAGGUGGUGGAGGUGAAAUCCAGGUUGUUGAAAUUGUGGCUGAUGAUAAUACUGUACAAUCAAACAAUGAGAUUGAGCUUCAGCCUGAUGAUCAGAGUACUCAUCAGCAAUGCUUAAAAAUUAGUGAAGAGAUUGUGAAGGAGAAAAAGUUGGAUUGGAGUGAUGCUCAUGAUGUUGACAAGGGAAUUCAUGUUGCAGACAAUUCUGGUCGUUACAUGCUGAUCUAUGCCCAGUUCAUGAUCCGACAACUGAUAUGUAAGGAACCAACUAUUUUGCUCCUUGCAAUUGCUGCAAUAUUGUCGUUUAUCUUUGGAAUCAAAGAAGAAGGUGUGCAUAAUGGUUGGUUUGAAGGAGCACUUCUGGUUGUGAUUAUAUUUGUGAUUGUUUCGUUUAAGCUAGCACGUAAUUGGUACAAAAGACACAUUUGGAAUAAGCAAAAUGAGAACAGAGCAAGGAAGGACCAGCCGUUUAUUUCUGAAACGGACUCCAGUUUUUGUGCCGACUUUGACAAGUUGAACAAUUACAUACAUAUUAGUGGGCUGUCCAUUGGCAUUUUGAUCACUGUGGUGCUGUUCAUUCGCUUUAAAUUGGGCUAUAAAGAUGAUGAGAACGGAUAUAGAUUGGAAACCAAGGAAGAACCAACUGAAAUUGCACGGAUAAUGAAUGCCGUGAAGAAGGUUUUGACAGAAUCAAAGGGAGCAGUGAGAGUUAUGAUAACUUCUCUUGGUAUCACACUGGUGGGGAUUACUGAAGGAGUACCAUUUCUUAUUUCAAUUGCAAGGGCAUACUGGUAUCCAAUUUUUGAUGUUAAGAUGGAACCAGUCAACACCAUCUGUAUAGAAAAAAUUAGAUGGUUGAAAGUUACCCAGUUUCUUCUUGACAAAAAAGAUGUUACCAAGAUGUUAGCUGGUGGAAAGAGUUGAAAGUUACCCAGUUUCUUCUUGACAAAAAAGAUGUUACCAAGAUACCGCCACAUGUCUACAGUGUUCUCUCUGAUGGAAUUGGUGUGUCCCCUCUGACUUCUCAAACAGCCUACCACAGAGUAGAAGAAGCAAUACUCUGUUGGGCAGAAAAGAACACGGGUAUGCAGAGAGACACUUUGGAUAAGCAGUUCACCAUAGUGAAGAACAACGAUGAUGAGAUGAAUCCUUUUGAAGGACCUUGUAAAGUAGUCAUAGAGAAAAAUGGAGAUAAUGGGAAAGAGUACUAUUCAUAUUUCAAGGGUCCUACUGAUUCAAUAUUGCCAAUGUGUUCAAGUUACUAUGACUUGACGGGUCAAGUGCAGGAUUUGGAUGACGAAACAAAGAGUGACAUUGUUCAAACUAACAACAACAACAACAUGAACGUAGUUGCAUUUGCCUUCAAACACAGUCAGGACGUUGUUGAACUUGAUGAAAAUGGCCUAACAUUCAUUGGUAUGUUUGUCUUAGAAUAUACUUUCAAUCUAGACAACACGAGGAAAGCAAUUGCGAUUCUGAAAGAAGGCGGAGUGAAGAUGAUAUUUGCCUCAGAAGAAGAUGUUGAAGUGCUUCGUACCAUUGUUGAUGAAACAGGAUUGCUCAACUCACAUGAAGCUCUAGUAGUUAGGGGUGAAGAUGCUACAAAGGAAAAUGUUGAUAAAAUGUGCAUUAUGGGAAAUUCCUCUCCCGCAUGCAUGCUUCUUUUAAUAGAGCAAUUGAAGAAAAGAGGAGAAGUUGUGGCUGUGGUAGGAGAACAAGCAUCUGAAAGUAAUGUGGUUCUUGAAGCAGCUCAUUUUGGCCUGCCUGUGGUGACUAACUGGCCUGAAACUAUAACUUAUGUGAUUAACAGCAUCAAGGGAGGAAGAAUUGUUGUGAGUAUAUGAGGCAGUUCAUCCAAGUUGAGAUAAUCUUUGCAAUCAGUAGCUUAUUAAUAAACUUCAUACUGGUUAUAUUAGACGGAGAUGGUCCGUUAACAGUCAUUCAGUUGGUAUGGGUUAACCUUCUUGUAAAAUUUAUUGGAGGGCCAGCUUUGCUAAUUACUCAGCAGGCCACAAGACAACUAAGGGAUGAGCUUUCUAUCAGACCAAGAAAACUGCCAAUUACCAAGUGCAUGUUGAGAAACAUACUUCUUCAAGUUUCUUAUCAGACUGGUAUUUUUGUAUUCCUUCAACACAGAGGAAGUGCAAUACUGGGGAUCACUCCAAAAGUUAACAGAUCUAUAGUCUUUAACGGGUUCGCUCUGUGCCAGCUUUUUAACAUAUUCAGUGCAAGGGAUUUGGAGCAGAGGAAUUAUUUCAAAGGUCUCGGUCAAAAUUACUUGUUUUGGGCAUUGUCUGGGCUCUAUCUUGUGUUGCAGUUUGGAUUCAUUGAAUUAGAGGCUUUCUUGUUUAGCAACACGGCACGACUGAAUUGGAAGCAAUGGGCUGAAUCCAUUUUAAUUGGAGUUGUUACAUGGUUGCUUGAUGUGAUAGUAAAAUGGGCAUCACAACACAUAAAGAUAGACACAUAUUGUGAUUGUGGAGUUCUUCACCUAGCUAGAAACUGGUUACAGUGUUGGUUUAUGAGGAUCAAUUGCUGUUACUGUGGACCAAGAAGUACACCAAAUCCAACUCUUGCUUCCUUGGAUUCUUCAAGAUACACUAGCGGAAAGGUAUUAUAAAAAUUUGUCCAUACAGCCUAAUUACAGUACAGUUCAAUCAACAGUCUUUCCUAAAAUUUUGGAUUCAAGUUGUAGUUGUUGUUCGUUUGCAGGGCUGGAUAACAAGUAUUACACGUCGUGUUAAACCAACCAAGCAUAGAGCUAAUACUUUGAUGGAUUAAUCAUAUGUUUCAGUAGCUUCAAUUUUUAGUACAUAGUUUCCUCUGUUUUCUAUAGAAGGUUAGAUAUAGUUGGAGCAACACUAAAGUUGUCUCAAUGUGACCGGUAGGUUAUGGGUUAGAGCAGUUAUGAAAUCAGCCUUUGAUGCUUGUAUGAGGGUAGGUUGCCUACAUCACACCCUUCAAGGGUCUCAGGCCUACGUCAAUGAGGGAUGAUUAGUGCACUAGGCUAUCCUUUUUAGUUAAUUUAUGUUAAUUAAUUUCAUCAAGUUUUUCGGUUCUUGUUCUUGUUCCUCUUCACUUUUAACUAAAUUCAAGAAUGUAAACUUAUUAUAUAGUACUACUCCCUCAAUCCCUUUGUAUGUCACAUUUUUAAUUUUUUACUUUGUAUUUGUAUUAAAAAAUGAAGUAACUUUAUCCUUAUUUAAUGUUUUCUUAAAUCAACUCUAUAAUAAAUGAUGAAUACAUUUUCAAGAUUAAUUAACUAUUCCAUCAAGGGUAUAAUAGGAAAAAUAUGAUAAAUUUAUGCAUAAAUUUUAUAAAAUGACAAGUAUUGUGGUCCAGCUAUUUAUAGAAAGGAAUGUCAUAUAAAAAUGGACGGAGGGAGUAAUAUACGUAGAAAGCAAGAAUUUUAUGAAUUUCAAACACAGCGAAGUUUGCUCAAAAUCAUAAAGCAAACUAGUGAGUACACAUUCUACUAAUUAAUUGGCUUGUUCAAGAAGAUAAAUAUUUCCAAUAUCAUAUAGUAUAUGCAAAAAUAUAACUUAAUUACCUCGAUCUUGUUUUUCUCAAACUUGGUGAAAUGUAAUAGACAAAGCUCUUGUUGAGGAGAAACUGACAAGCCGGGAAUGCCAUUGGAAGAGACUUUUCUUCAGCGAAGUCAACUGCCUGUGGUCGUUUCUUUACUAUAUAAAAAAUAAAAAACAAACCUCACAAAUAUCCUAACAUGGAUUUUAUAAGAAUAUUUUUCUUUAAUUUUGGACACAUUUGUCUUUUAUCAAACGUGUCUUCAAUAAAUAUUCAUGUGUGAGUAGGUAAUGUAGAAAUGUUACUUUAUCUAUUUCAAUUUAUGUUACUAAAAACUUUUUAGUUAGUUCUGAAAAUAAUAAUAGUUACUUUUUUUAUAGAUAUUUUGAAAUAAUUUAACUUCUAAAUUUUUUUUUUAAAAAAGAGAGAGAAUAAUUUAUAAUCAUAGAAAUAUGUAUGAUUAACUUUAAAAGUCAUUUGAAAUUCAUUUGUGAGUAGAUAAUCUUGAAAAGGUUACCAUAAGGAAUUUGUUACUCCAUCUAUUACAAUUUAUUAAUGUUACAAUUUUUUUAAGCUAGACCUGAAAAUAAUAAUAGUAUUGAUACAAAAAUUUAAGUUGAAUGAUUUUAUAGAUAUAAAAGCUUAAUUGAGUGGGUUUUUUGAUACAAAAUAAAGUUCAAUGAUUUUGCUAGACAAAUUCUUGAAGUUGAGUGAACUUUUGAGAUAUUAACUCUAGAAAACAUGUGACUACUCGUGUACAUUCAAAAUUAAUGGACAUAAAUAAGAACUAGAGCCAAGUUAAAGGAUACACUUAUAUAUUAUAUCAUUUGAUAAAAGUAAUUUUUAUUUCCGAAGUGAAAAAUAAUAUAUAAUUUUUUUUAUUUUAUUAAUUUAUAAAGUCUUCUCGAAAACAUUUUCUAACAUACCAAAAAGCAGCAUCUUCUAUAACAAAUUUUUUGUGUGUGUGUGGUGAUGGUGAGAUCAAUUUAAAAAUUGUCAAUAUUAACGCGUUAUAAAAAUUAAAGAGUGUAAGGGAAAAUUUGAAUUUGAACAAGAUGGGUGUUCACAUUCCGCAACACAAAGCUGAGGCCGGGAGUGAAUAACUAACCACUUGAGCAUUGGAGUACUGCAUGUCUAUUUGAACGGGUCACGAUUUAAUUCAUUUUCAAUUUCAGUAGUGCUGAUCAAAGCUAGGAUGAUGGAUGAAGAUAAUGGAUCAGACAUUGAAGCUCAGGGGAGUUCCCCGCUGCUAAUGAAUGGUAAUUCUACGUUGAUCAUGAGGAGGUUGGCUCUCAUUCUCCGAUCUACUUACAACUUCCAUUGAAGCUGGAGCAAGAAUACCAUCUCUUUCACGAGUCUCAUCGUCUACCUUAUCCUCCACCACAACCUUUUAUACUCCUCUUCCCUAAGUAUAUAAACAAAUGUCUUUAUCACUACUAUAUAUAUACACACACGUAGUUGUUAAUUAUACAUGCUCUCCGUCUAAUUAGGAUGCAGAAGGUGGUGAAGAUGAAAUCCAGGUUGUUGAAAUUGUGGCUGAUGAUAAUACUGUACAAUCAAACAAUGAUCACGUCGACAUUGAUCAAAGUACUCAUCAGCAAUGCCUACAAAUUAGUGAUUGUUUUGUUUAAGUUUGCACGAAAUAGGUACAAAAGACACCUUUGGAAGAAGCAAAAAGAUAACAAAGAAACGAAGAAUUACCCCCUGUUGAUUUCUGAAACGGACUCCAGCUUUUGUGCCUGUUUUGACAAGUUGAACAAUUAUAUACAUAUUAGUGGGUUGUUGAUUGGCAUUUUGAUCACUGUGGUGCUGUUCAUUCGCUUUAAAAUUGAGCCAUAAAGAUGACGAAAAUGGAUAUAGAUUAGAAACCAAGGAAGAACCAGCUGAAAUUGCACAGAAUAAUGAAUGCCGUGAAAAAGGUUUUAACAGAAUCAAAGGGAACAGUAAGAGUUUUGAUAACUUUACUUGGUGUCACACUGGUAGGGAUGACUGAAGGGGUACCAUUUCUUAUUUCAAUUACAAUGGCAUAUUGGUAUCCGAAUUUUGAUGUUAAAAUGGAAUCAGUCAGCACCCUCUGUAUAGAAAAUGUUGGCUGGUUGAAAGAGCAAAAACUGGAAGUUAGUCAGUUUUUCCUUGACAAAAUAAAUGUUACCAAGAUACCGCCAGAUGUCUGCAGUGUUCUCUCUGAUGGAAUUUGUGUGUCCACUCUGACUUCUCAAACAACUGACCAAAGAAUGGAAGAACCAAUACUCUGUUGGGCAGAGAAGAACAUGGGUAUGCAGAGAGACACUUUAGAUCAGCAGUUCAUAAUAGUGAAGGACAAUGAUAGUGAGAUGAAUCCUUUUGAAGGACCUUGUGGAGUUGUCAUAGAGAAAAAUGGAGAUAACGGGAAGGAGUACUAUUCACACUUCAAAGGACGGGCUGAUUCAAUAUUGUCAAUGUGUUCAAGUUACUAUGACAUGAAGGGAGAAGUGCAGGAUUUGGAUGAUGGAACAAAGAGUGACAUUGCUCAAACUAACAACAAGAACAAGAACGUAGUUGCAUUUGCCUUCAAACACACUCAGGACGUUGGUGAACUUGAUGAAAAUGGCCUAACAUUCAUUGGUAUGUUUGUCUUAGAAGAUAAUUUCAAUCUAGACAACAUGAGGCAAGGAAUUGAGAUUCUGAAAGAAGGUGGAGUGAAGAUGAUAUUUGCCUCGGAAGAAGAUGUUGAAGUGCUUCGUGCCAUUGGUGAUGAAACAGGAUUGCUCAACUCACAUAAUGCUCUAGUAGUUAAGCAUGAAGAUGCUACGAAGGAAAAUGUUGAGAAAAUUUGCAUUACGGGAAAUUCCUCUCCCGCACACAAGCUUCUUUUAAUAGAGCAGUUGAAGAAAAGAGGAGAAGUGGUGGCUGUGGUAGGAGAACAAGCAUUUGGAAGUAAUGUGGUUCUUGAAGCAGCUAAUUUUGGCCUGCCUGUGGUGACUAACUGGCCUGAAACUAUAACUUGUGUGAUUAACAGCAUCAAGGGAGGAAGAAUUGUUUGUGAGUAUAUGAGGCAGUUCAUUCAAGUUGAGAUAAUCUUUGCAAUCAGUAGCAUAUUAAUAAACUUCAUACUGGUUAUACUAGACGGAGAUGGCCCGUUAACAGUCAUUCAGUUGGUAUGGGUUAACCUUCUUGUAAAAUUUAUUGGAGGGCCAGCUUUGCUAAUUACUCAUCAGGCCAUAAGACAACUAAGGGAUGAGCUUUCUAUCAGACCAAGAAAACUACCAAUUACCAAGGGCAUGUUGAGAAACAUAAUUUUUCAAGCUUCUUAUCAGACUGUUAUUUUUGUAUGCCUUCCACACAGAGGAAGUGCAAUACUGGGAAUCACUGCGAAAGUUAACAUAUCUACUGUCUUUAACGGGUUUGCUCUGUGCCAGCUUUUUAACAUAUUCAGUGCAAGAGAUUUGGAGCAGAAGAAUUUUUUCAAAGGUCUUGGUUAAAAUUACUUGUUUUGGGCAUUGUCUUUGCUCUAUCUUGUGUUGCAGUUUGGAUUCAUUGAAUUAGAGGCUUUCUUGUUUAGCAACACGGCACGAUUGAAUUGGAAGCAAUGGGCUGAAUCCAUUUUAAUUGGAGCUGUUACAUGGUUGCUUGAUGUGAUAGUAAAAUGGGCAUCACAAUACAUAAAGAUAGACACAUAUUGUGAUUGUGGAGUUCUUCACCUAGCUAGAAACUGGUUCCAGUAUUGGUUUAUGAGGAUCAAUUGCUGUUACUGUGGACCAAGAAGUACACCAAAUCCAACUCUUGCUUCCUUGGAUUCUUCAAGAUCCACUAGCGGAAACGUAUUAUAAAAAUUUGUCCAUACAGCCUAAUUAUAGUACAGUUCAAACAAAAGUUUUUCCUAAAAUUUUGGAUUCAAGUUGUAGCUGUUGUUCUUUUGCAGGGCUGGCUAACAAAUAUCACACGUCGUGUUAAACCAACCAAGCAUAGAGCUAAUACUUUGAUGGAUUAAUCAUAUGUUUCAGUAGCUUCAAUUUUGAGUACAUAUUUUCCACUGUUUUCUAUUAGAUACACUUGGACCAACAAUAAAGUUGUUUCCACGCGACUGGUAGGUUAUGAGUUAGAGAUGUACUGGAAUCAGCCUCUGAUGCUUGUAUCAGGUAGGAUGCCUACAUCAUACCCUUCAAAGGCAUUGACCCUUCCCGGACCUACGUCAAUGAGGGAUGAUUAGUGCAGUAGGCUGUCCUUUUUAGUUAAUUUAUGUGAAUUAAUUUCAUCAAGUUUUUUGGUUCUUGUUCUUGUUCUUCUUUUUACUUUUAAUUUAAAUUCAAGAAUGCAAACUUAUUACUAUAUAGUACUAAUAUACAUAGAAAGCAAGAGUUUCAUGAAUUUCUAACACACAGAAGUUUGCUCAAAAUCAUAAAGCAAACUAGUGAGUACACAUUCUACUAAUUGGCUCGUACAAGAAGAUAAAUAUUUCCAAUAUCAUAAUUCAUAUAUAUGCAAAAAUAUAACUUAAUUACCUCGAUCUUAUUUUUCUCAAACUUGGUGUAAUGUAAUAGACAAAGCUCUUGUUGAGGAGAAAUUGACAAACCAGCAAUGCCAUUGGAAGAGAGUUUUCUUCAGCAAAGUCAACUGCCAGUGGUCGUUUCUUUACUAUAUAAAAAUAUAAAACAAAAUAUAUGGUCCUCACAAAUAUACCAACAUGGAUUUUAUAAGAAUAUUUUUCUUUAAUUUUGGACACAUUUGUCUUUUAUCAAA
RNAcentral lists this long non-coding RNA (10362 nucleotides) under Solanum tuberosum (potato). RNAcentral describes it as "long non-coding RNA (STUB_LNC003227)". The record is from RNAcentral. Lineage: Eukaryota; Viridiplantae; Streptophyta; Magnoliopsida; Solanales; Solanaceae.